UGGGGAAUAUUGCACAAUGGGCGCAAGCCUGAUGCAGCCAUGCCGCGUGUAUGAAGAAGGCCUUCGGGUUGUAAAGUACUUUCAGCGGGGAGGAAGGGAGUAAAGUUAAUACCUUUGCUCAUUGACGUUACCCGCAGAAGAAGCACCGGCUAACUCCGUGCCAGCAGCCGUGGUAAUACGGUGGGUGCAAGCGUUAAUCGGAAUUACUGGGCGUAAAGCGCACGCAGGCGGUUGAUUGAGUCAGAUGUGAAAUCCCCGGGCUUAACCCGGGAAUUGCAUCUGAUACUGGUCAGCUAGAGGCUUGUAGAGGGGGGUAGAAUUCCAUGUGUAGCGGUGAAAAGCGUAGAGGUGUGGAGGAAUACCGGUGGCGAAGGCGGCACCCUGGACAAAGACUGACGAUCAGGUGCGAAAGCGUGGGGAGCAAACAGG
Molecule: ribosomal RNA, 429 nt
Filed under: Chloroflexota bacterium
Lineage: Bacteria; Bacillati; Chloroflexota
Description: Chloroflexi bacterium partial 16S ribosomal RNA
Rfam family: Bacterial small subunit ribosomal RNA
Source: RNAcentral